GGGGGUGCAAGCGUUGUUCGGAAUUAUUGGGCGUAAAGAGCGUGUAGGCGGCCUGAUGUGUCAGAUGUGAAAGCCCUGGGCUUAACCCAGGAAGUGCAUUUGAAACUGUCAGGCUUGAGCAGGGAGAGGGAAGUGGAAUUCCUGGUGUAGAGGUGAAAUUCGUAGAUAUCAGGAGGAACACCGGUGGCGAAGGCGACUUCCUGGCCCUAUACUGACGCUGAGACGCGAGAGCGUGGGUAGCAAACAGGAUUAGAUACCCUGGUAGUCCACGCCGUAAACGAUGUUCACUAGGUGUUGGGGGUAUUGACCCCCUCAGUGCCGGAGCUAACGCGUUAAGUGAACCGCCUGGGGAGUACGGUCGCAAGACUAAAACUCAAAGGAAUUGACGGGGGCCCGCACAAGCGGUGGAGCAUGUGGUUUAAUUCGAUGCAACGCGAAGAACCUUACCUGGGCUUGACAUCCACGGAACCUGCUGGAAACAGCAGGGUGCCCUUCGGGGAGCCGUGAGACAGGUGCUGCAUGGCUGUCGUCAGCUCGUGUCGUGAGAUU
This 549-nucleotide ribosomal RNA is filed under the name uncultured bacterium. RNAcentral describes it as "bacterial SSU rRNA". It matches the Rfam family "Bacterial small subunit ribosomal RNA", at positions 528 to 1074 of the family's 1533-position model. The record is from RNAcentral.